ACCCAGACUCCUACGGGAGGCAGCAGUGGGGGAUAUUGCACAAUGGGGGGAACCCUGAUGCAGCGACGCCGCGUGGGUGAAGAAGUAUUUCGGUAUGUAAAGCCCUAUCGGCAGGGAAGAAAUUGGACGGUACCUGACUAAGAAGCCCUGGCUAACUACGUGCCAGCAGCCGCGGGAAUACGUAGGGGGCAAGCGUUAUCCGGAUUUACUGGGUGUAAAGGGAGCGUAGACGGUUCUGCAAGCCAGAUGUGAAAGCCCGGGGCUCAACCCCGGGACUGCAUUUGGAACUGGAAGGCUAGAGUGUCGGAGAGGCAGGCGGAAUUCCUAGUGUAGCGGUGAAAUGCGUAGAUAUUAGGAGGAACACCAGUGGCGAAGGCGGCCUGCUGGACGAUGACUGACGUUGAGGCUCGAAAGCGUGGGGAGCAAACAGGAUUAGAUACCCCAGUA
This 447-nucleotide ribosomal RNA is filed under the name uncultured bacterium. RNAcentral describes it as "bacterial SSU rRNA". It matches the Rfam family "Bacterial small subunit ribosomal RNA", at positions 329 to 792 of the family's 1533-position model. The record is from RNAcentral.